RNAcentral lists this ribosomal RNA (1208 nucleotides) under metagenome. Its description in RNAcentral is "bacterial SSU rRNA". It matches the Rfam family "Bacterial small subunit ribosomal RNA", at positions 301 to 1498 of the family's 1533-position model. The record is from RNAcentral.
GGAUCAGCCACACUGGAACUGGAACACGGUCCAGACUCCUACGGGAGGCAGCAGUGAGGGAUUUUGCGCAAUGGGGGAAACCCUGACGCAGCAACGCCGCGUGAGUGAAGAAGGCCCUUGGGUCGUAAAGCUCUGUCGACAGGGAAGAAAUUAUUUCAUAUUAAUAGUAUGUUGUAUUGACGGUACCUGUAGAGGAAGCACCGGCUAACUCCGUGCCAGCAGCCGCGGUAAUACGGGGGGUGCAAGCGUUAUUCGGAAUUAUUGGGCGUAAAGGGCGCGUAGGCGGUCUUGUCGGUCAGAUGUGAAAGCCCGGGGCUCAACCCUGGAAGUGCAUUUGAAACAGCAAGACUUGAGUACGGGAGAGGAGAGCGGAAUUCCUGGUGUAGAGGUGAAAUUCGUAGAUAUCAGGAGGAACACCGAUGGCGAAGGCAGCUCUCUGGACCGAUACUGACGCUGAGGCGCGAAGGUGUGGGUAUCGAACGGGAUUAGAUACCCCGGUAGUCCACACAGUAAACGUUGUUCACUCGGUGUAUCGGAUAUUAAAAUCUGAUGUGCCCAAGCUAACGUGGUAAGUGAACCGCCUGGGGAGUACGGUCGCAAGACUAAAACUCAAAGGAAUUGACGGGGGCCCGCACAAGCGGUGGAGCAUGUGGUUUAAUUCGACACAACGCGAAGAACCUUACCUGGAUUUGACAUCCUGUGAAUCUUUCAGAGAUGAGAGAGUGCCUUCGGGAACACAGUGACAGGUGCUGCAUGGCUGUCGUCAGCUCGUGUCGUGAGAUGUUUGGUUAAGUCCAGCAACGAGCGCAACCCUUAUCGUUAGUUGCCAGCACGUAAUGGUGGGAACUCUAGCGAGACUGCCCCGGUUAACGGGGAGGAAGGUGGGGAUGACGUCAAGUCCUCAUGGCCCUUAUAUCCAGGGCUACACACGUGCUACAAUGGUAAGUACACAGGGCAGCAAGCCAGCGAUGGUUAGCUAAUCCCUAAAGCUUAUCUCAGUCCGGAUUGGAGUCUGCAACUCGACUCCAUGAAGUUGGAAUCGCUAGUAAUCGCGGAUCAGCAUGCCGCGGUGAAUAUGUUCCCGGGCCUUGUACACACCGCCCGUCACACCAUGAGAGUUGAUUAUACCCGACGUCGUUGGGCUAACUGUUUACAGAGGCAGGCGCCUAAGGUAUGGUUGAUAAUUGGGGUGAAGUCGUAACAAGGUA